UAGGGAAUCUUCCACAAUGGACGCAAGUCUGAUGGAGCAACGCCGCGUGAGUGAAGAAGGUUUUCGGACCGUAAAGCUCUGUUGUUGGUGAAGAAGGAUAGAGGUAGUAACUGGCCUUUAUUUGACGGUAAUCAACCAGAAAGUCACGACUAACUACGUGCCAGCAGCCGCGGUAAUACGUAGGUGGCAAGCGUUGUCCGGAUUUAUUGGGCGUAAAGCGAGCGCAGGCGGAAGAAUAAGUCUGAUGUGAAAGCCCUCGGCUUAACCGAGGAAUUGCAUCGGAAACUGUUUUUCUUGAGUGCAGAAGGGGAGAGUAGAACUCCAUGUGUAGCGGUGGAAUGCGUAGAUAUAUGGAAGAAUACCAGUGGCGAAGGCGGCUCUCUGGUCUGCAACUGACGCUGAGGCUCGAAAGCAUGGGUAGCGAACAGAUUAGAUACCCUGGGUAGUCCAUGCCG
This 455-nucleotide ribosomal RNA is filed under the name uncultured bacterium. RNAcentral describes it as "partial 16S ribosomal RNA". It matches the Rfam family "Bacterial small subunit ribosomal RNA", at positions 355 to 802 of the family's 1533-position model. The record is from RNAcentral.